This is a long non-coding RNA of Tripterygium wilfordii, 1885 nucleotides long. RefSeq lists it as uncharacterized. The transcript is spliced from 4 exons. Lineage: Eukaryota; Viridiplantae; Streptophyta; Magnoliopsida; Celastrales; Celastraceae. The record is from RefSeq and is a predicted model, not a curated record.
CUCUGUUUGAAUCCCUCAAUUCAAUUAUUUCGAAACAUUUCCAAAUUUCGCGCCAUCGGAAAUACGAAAUUCAAAGCAAUCACUGCUCGUUUAAACGAUUCCCAAACAAUAACGACAACUGGAGAAUCGACAACAGCAGCUUAAUGAAUCUCUCCGUUACGCGCUUCACUCUCGGACCUCGGAAUACCUGGUUUGGAUGAAUCGUACUUACCAAGGGGGAUCGGGGUUCCUGAGUCACGUCGCUGGUUCUGAUGCAGCGUCCUUCACCCCUGCACAAAUGGUAAUCUGAUUCUAUUACGGGGUUUUGUUUUUCUAAGACAUGCGAUUUGUUGCUGUUUGUUUUUUUUUCCCCCUUCCACAACCAAUUUCAUGUAGAGAACAGAAGCACUGGAUCUCUCUUUAGCCGCAUUCUCCAUUGCCCUUCCUUACCUUGGAAGAUUUCUCAAGAUUCUGGACUUGGCGGGAUGCUUCCAAAUGGGAUUCGUUCUCUUCUGGUUCAACCUGUGUUUCAUGCUUUCAUUCCAAGUGGCAAGCAAGUGAAAAAAGUCAAAGGGUUUUUCUGCUGGCUUCAAGUAUGGGUGGAAUAAAGCUGAAAGGGUGGCUUGCUGGAGGAGUAUGGAUCCUACUGACAGUGUUGGUGCCACCAGACAAACCUGACAUUGAUUUAGCACAACUGAACAAAUUGACCACAGAAAUUGUGUUGACAUUUGAGUCUAAUAUGUGGGAGGAAUAGGAGAGGACAUUGAAUUGCAUCAAUGUCUCACCCUGGGCUCACCAUGCUGGCCUUCCCACAGAAUGUUGAUAACGCUGUCACUCUAUCUGGUUUAAUUCGAGGUACGUAAACCACACUUUUCAUCCUAAAUGUUGUUGCCUAAUAAGAAAGACCAAAGUGGAGCCAUAACUAGUGAUGCUUAAUGAUAAAACGUUAGCGAUAUGUCCUUUCUUUGUUUGCAUUUGCAUAGACAUAGAACAUGUUUCACAUUGUCAUACACUGAAGAGUGAAGAUGGUGAAAUCAAUGACGACAACUGUUGCUUUUGACUGCAGAAAUUUCAUAGUCUCCUCAUGUUUGAAAACAUUGACUAUUGUGCCUGGUAGAGGAGAGGGAUUUGUUUACCUUACCUGGGAUAUAGACCCUAAUACCAUUGUGAGAUCAUUUAUUCUGGGUAUUUCCAUAGGCUCCUCCAUUCCACAUACCCUAUUAGGAGGGGGGGGGGGGACUUCUAUGGAUACAACUCAUGCUGUCGCAACUAAGCAGAGUAAAGUGUUGGUUAAAGGAAGUAUUGAUAAAUAACAAUGAUUCAAUGAACCUUCUCAAUAUCAUGUCCUACGAGAUGAACAUCCACGACCCCAGCCACUUCUGUUCCUCUGGCUUUGGUUAUUGCAACUACUGCUGCUUUUCCUAUCUCCUUUGCUGCUCCAUUUAUAACUACCUACGCGCGUAGUCAUUAAGAGUAAACUUGGUUACGUGUGCUUUUUUUUUUCCCCCUACAUUUUUCCUUUUCAAUUGUUUGUGGUUGAAUGUAACAGAGAAUUAGAUUGGAAGGGGUUACCAUGAUGUUCCGUUGAGAGGGCUGAAUUGAGCAUGAAUAGAAGGCCUCCAUUUUGCUUUGACAUUUUGGGAGACUUAAUCCAUUGUGGGAUGAAAGUUGCAGUUUAAAGCUGCCAUGGUUAAUCAAAUCUCCGAUAGCCUUUCACGGCUGAGCUGGGUCUUUUGUUGGUGUCAAGUUGAAAAGCUUCUUUGUCGAAGCAUAUGCUACGCUUAGAUUCUUGGAUAAGGUCCCUUUUUUUGGGGGAAAGGUCAUGUGUCAUAUGAUAGACCUUGUUUGGCCUAACACUGACGCGUAACGUGAGCAAGGUGAUGCCUUAUGGAUAUGCAUAGCAUGC